RNA transcript from Phyllostomus discolor (pale spear-nosed bat), 1111 nucleotides. It is a transcript of the gene named UL16-binding protein 6-like, with no coding region annotated. NCBI's taxonomy places the organism in Eukaryota, Metazoa, Chordata, Mammalia, Chiroptera, Phyllostomidae. The record is from RefSeq and is a predicted model, not a curated record. The transcript has 5 exons.
AUUCUCUCCCCUGAGCCAUCUGACUCCCUCUUCUUCUACCUGCCCAGAAGUUCUGGCCGGUCUGCUUCCAGGCACGGUAGCCACGCCUUUUUCCAAGCUCACAAGACCCAUCCCAGCAGCAGAUGUGUCCUCUCUUUGCUAUGCAUUCAUUGUCUCUGCCAGUGGACCAUCAUGGUGUGUGGUUCGAGGCAAGAUCAAUGGGACCCCAUUUUUAAAAUAUACGAGUAGAAAUCUGAAGGCCAAACCCAUCGGUCCCCUGGGGAUGAGGUUGAGUGCCACACAGGCCUGGAAUCAACAGGGUGAACAUUGGAAGGACCUGGUGGAAGAGCUCCGCAAGGCACUGCUGGACAAUAAAGAAAAUAUUUAUGAAGACUUUAAUUCUCUCUCCCUGCAGGGCAGCAUGACGUGUCAGCAGAAAUUCAGUGGACGCUCCAGGGCAUUCUGGGAGUUUGGGGUCAACGGACAGAGAUGCCUCCAAUUUGACUCAAAGAGCAGAAGCUGGACAGAGUUGCAUCCUGGGUGUAGAUUGUUAAAGGAGACACUGGACAGUGACAGAGAUGUGACCAAUCUCCUUGUUGCUAUCUCACGUGGAGAUUGUGCGAAGUUGCUUCAUCAGAGCACAGUUCUGGACACAAAAGCUGCACCAACCACGGCUACAGCUACAGCCCCAGUCCCAGCCCCGUCCAAGGCCAUGACCAUCACGCACAGCACGUGGUGUGGAUCCUCACUCCAAUUUUUAUCUUAAUCCCACUUGGCAUCCUAGGCUGGGUCCUUACAGUAACAGAAGACGCUGCUCAGGAGCUCCUUUGAGUGUGGUCUAGUUCCGCACGUUUCCCUCCUCGUCGGCUGCCUUUCCAUCAUCCCCGGGUGCUCAACGGAAGGCCUCCAGGAGCUGUGAUCCUUAGAGGCAUCAGAAGAUGGUGAUGGUACAGCGGAUGCAACAGUCACAUCCUCUGCUCCAUGGAAGUGACAUGAAUUAAUUUGCUUAUUAACAUGUUAUCAUGCCAUAUGGUGUCUGGGAUAAUAGAAUGGAUAAAGUGUGGUAUGUUUACAAAUGGAACACUAUAUAAAAAUAAAUAAGUAAUAAACUGCUAGACAAAACCCGUAUGAC